Molecule: transfer RNA, 85 nt
Filed under: Acholeplasmataceae bacterium
Lineage: Bacteria; Bacillati; Mycoplasmatota; Mollicutes; Acholeplasmatales; Acholeplasmataceae
Description: tRNA-Leu
Rfam family: tRNA
About the family: Transfer RNA (tRNA) molecules are approximately 80 nucleotides in length.
Source: RNAcentral
GCCCGCGUGUCGAAAUUGGUAUACGAUCUUGACUCAAAAUCAAGCGCCCUAAAGCAUGCCGGUUCGAGUCCGGCCGCGGGCACCA